UACGUAGGGGGGCUAGCGUUGUCCGGAAUCAUUGGGCGUAAAGAGCGUGUAGGCGGCCAUGCAGGUCCGUUGUGAAAACUCGAGGCUCAACCUCGAGACGCCGGUGGAAACCGUGUGGCUAGAGUCCGGAAGAGGAGAGUGGAAUUCCUGGUGUAGCGGUGAAAUGCGCAGAUAUCGGGAGGAACACCUAUGGCGAAGGCAGCUCGCUGGGGACGUUACUGACGCUGAGACGCGAAAGCGUGGGGAGCAAACAGG
This 255-nucleotide ribosomal RNA is filed under the name uncultured bacterium. RNAcentral describes it as "partial 16S ribosomal RNA". It matches the Rfam family "Bacterial small subunit ribosomal RNA", at positions 524 to 776 of the family's 1533-position model. The record is from RNAcentral.